AACGAACGCUGGCGGCGUGCCUAACACAUGCAAGUCGAGCGCGAAAAGGGCAACCUGAGUAGAGCGGCGCACGGGUGCGUAACACGUGGGUAAUCUGCCUUAGAGUCGAGGAUAACCUUCCGAAAGGUUGGCUAAUACUCGGUAAGCUUACGGUGUCUUCGGACGCUGUGGGAAAAGUAGGCCUCUGUUUACAAGCUUACGCUCUGAGCUGAGCCCGCGGCCCAUCAGCUAGUUGGCGGAGUAACGGACCACCAAGGCAACGACGGGUAGCUGGUCUGAGAGGACGAUCAGCCACACUGGAACUGAGACACGGUCCAGACUCCUACGGGAGGCAGCAGUGGGGAAUUUUCCACAAUGGGCGAAAGCCUGAUGGAGCAACGCCGCGUGUGCGAUGAAGGUUUUCGGAUCGUAAAGCACUUUCGACCGGGACGAAAAACCUCUGGCUAACAUCCAGGGGCCUGACGGUACCGGGAGAAGAAGCACCGGCUAACUCUGUGCCAGCCGCCGCAGUAA
This 513-nucleotide ribosomal RNA is filed under the name uncultured bacterium. Its description in RNAcentral is "partial 16S ribosomal RNA". It matches the Rfam family "Bacterial small subunit ribosomal RNA", at positions 29 to 523 of the family's 1533-position model. The record is from RNAcentral.